GACGAACGCUGGCGGCGUGCUUAACACAUGCAAGUCGAACGGUAAGGCCCUUCGGGGUACACGAGUGGCGAACGGGUGAGUAACACGUGGGUGAUCUGCCCUGCACUUCGGGAUAAGCCUGGGAAACUGGGUCUAAUACCGGAUAGGACCACUGCCUGCAUGGGUGGUGGUGGAAAGCUUUUGCGGUGUGGGAUGGGCCCGCGGCCUAUCAGCUUUGUGGUGGGGUGAUGGCCUACCAAGGCGACGACGGGUAGCCGGCCUGAGAGGGGUGACCGGCCACACUGGGACUGAGAUACGGCCCAGACUCCUACGGGAGGCAGCAGUGGGGAAUAUUGCACAAUGGGCGCAAGCCUGAUGCAGCGACGCCGCGUGAGGGAUGACGGCCUUCGGGUUGUAAACCUCUUUCAGCACCGACGAAGCGCAAGUGACGGUAGGUGCAGAAGAAGGACCGGCCAACUACGUGCCAGCAGCCGCCGUAA
This 479-nucleotide ribosomal RNA is filed under the name uncultured bacterium. RNAcentral describes it as "partial 16S ribosomal RNA". It matches the Rfam family "Bacterial small subunit ribosomal RNA", at positions 28 to 523 of the family's 1533-position model. The record is from RNAcentral.